GUCGAACGGCAGCGCGGGAGCAAUCCUGGCGGCGAGUGGCGAACGGGCGAGUAAUACAUCGGAACGUGCCCAAUCGUGGGGGAUAACGCAGCGAAAGCUGUGCUAAUACCGCAUACGAUCUACGGAUGAAAGCAGGGGACCGCAAGGCCUUGCGCGACUGGAGCGGCCGAUGGCAGAUUAGGUAGUUGGUGAGGUAAAGGCUCACCAAGCCGACGAUCUGUAGCUGGUCUGAGAGGACGACCAGCCACACUGGGACUGAGACACGGCCCAGACUCCUACGGGAGGCAGCAGUGGGGAAUUUUGGACAAUGGGCGCAAGCCUGAUCCAGCCAUGCCGCGUGCAGGAUGAAGGCCUUCGGGUUGUAAACUGCUUUUGUACGGAACGAAAAGGCUCUUUCUAAUAAAGAGAGCUCAUGACGGUACCGUAAGAAUAAGCACCGGCUAACUACGUGCCAGCAGCCGCGGUAAUACGUAGGGUGCGAGCGUUAAUCGGAAUUACUGGGCGUAAAGCGUGCGCAGGCGGUGAUGUAAGACAGUUGUGAAAUCCCCGGGCUCAACCUGGGAACUGCAUCUGUGACUGCAUUGCUGGAGUGCGGCAGAGGGGGAUGGAAUUCCGCGUGUAGCAGUGAAAUGCGUAGAUAUGCGGAGGAACACCGAUGGCGAAGGCAAUCCCCUGGGCCUGCACUGACGCUCAUGCACGAAAGCGUGGGGAGCAAACAGGAUUAGAUACCCU
Molecule: ribosomal RNA, 732 nt
Filed under: Variovorax paradoxus
Lineage: Bacteria; Pseudomonadati; Pseudomonadota; Betaproteobacteria; Burkholderiales; Comamonadaceae
Description: bacterial SSU rRNA
Rfam family: Bacterial small subunit ribosomal RNA
Source: RNAcentral